Long non-coding RNA from Neofelis nebulosa (Clouded leopard), 835 nucleotides. RefSeq lists it as uncharacterized. Lineage: Eukaryota; Metazoa; Chordata; Mammalia; Carnivora; Felidae. The transcript is spliced from 3 exons. The record is from RefSeq and is a predicted model, not a curated record.
CAUUUCCACUGCCGCCUCUUGUUCCUGAAUAUGAUGCCAGCGUGUCAUCGUUGGCCCGCGUCCUGACAUGUGCUCCUUCUCUCUGUGGCCUACGGAGCUGGCUUGCGCUCGGUGGUUCCCAAGCCUACAGGCCACUGGAAGUGAGCUCCAAAAAUACAGAUUCCCCGGCCCCGUCCCUAGAGGUGCUGAGAUGACCGGACCUGGGAAUCAAACUUUUUAAAAGCUCCCUGUCUGACUCGGAUAUCAGCUGGCUUGGGAACGGCUGUCUUAGAUCAGUGGUUUCCAAACAUUUCUUUUCACCUCUAAAAUCUUACCCAGCAGUACAGUAGCUCAAGAGAUAAAAGCGGAACUGGUUUGGAUGAAGAGGAGUUGAGGCUCCAGAGCUCAGGCUUCUUCUCACCUCCAGAGUCUCUGGUGCCUCCCAAGAGCCUUCCUGACCUAUGGAACCCUAUUUGAAAACCAGUACCUACCUCAGUUCUCCGCAGCGGGCGCGAGGUGGCGGUGUGAGGACAGGGACGGGGAGAGGAGCGUUACCGAGCCACCAGGAAGAGGACGCAGCUGACGGCCAGAUAGGCUAGAAGCAUGAAGAGCCAGACGCCUGGAGAAAAUGGGUCCAGGAAGGAGAAAUAGCCAGAUGGAAGAACUGAGACCCGGGGAGGUUAAGUGCCUUGCUCAAAUCAGUGGUGAUGCCUUCCAUUUAUUUCUCCGGUGCUCGUUCGUCAAGCUGCGCCAUAGAGAUGCCACUCCUCUUUUGUUCAGAUGGCAGCUGUACCGCGUCUCCCUCUUCCUCCUUUAUCUUUGCAACUUGCUCCAAUAAACUCCCUAAUUAAUCUCA